AUGAACGCUGGCGGCGUGCCUAAUACAUGCAAGUCGAGCGAACAGACGAGGAGCUUGCUCCUCUGACGUUAGCGGCGGACGGGUGAGUAACACGUGGAUAACCUACCUAUAAGACUGGGAUAACUUCGGGAAACCGGAGCUAAUACCGGAUAAUAUAUUGAACCGCAUGGUUCAAUAGUGAAAGACGGUUUUGCUGUCACUUAUAGAUGGAUCCGCGCCGCAUUAGCUAGUUGGUAAGGUAACGGCUUACCAAGGCGACGAUGCGUAGCCGACCUGAGAGGGUGAUCGGCCCCACUGGAACUGAGACACGGGCCAGAAUCCUAAGGGAGGCCGGAGGAGGGAAUCUUCCCCAAAGGGGGAAAGCCUGAAGGAGCAACGCCGCGUGAGUGAUGAAGGUUUUCGGAUCGUAAAAAUCUUUUAUUAGGGAAGAACAAAUGUGUAAGUAACUAUGCACGUCUUGACGGUACCUAAUCAGAAAGCCACGGCUAACUACGUG
RNAcentral lists this ribosomal RNA (496 nucleotides) under uncultured bacterium. RNAcentral's name for it is "partial 16S ribosomal RNA". It matches the Rfam family "Bacterial small subunit ribosomal RNA", at positions 29 to 507 of the family's 1533-position model. The record is from RNAcentral.